GCAUCCGGAGCCGCUGCGCACAGAGGGCCUUCAAAGAUUCAGCGUUGACAGGGGUUGUUCUGAAUGUAACAGGAUCCCGUGGCAGAUGUAAACCAGACUGCAAGCAUUUGCCUUGCGUUUUGCAGAGGAGGUCAGCGCGGGGGUUUGCCUGUGAAAACGUGGAUGUGGGGCUGCCAGCAUCAGCAGGCAAAGCUGGGUGCUUCUCUUGGUGGUACUUUGCAAACCAAGCGUGGGCAGCGCAGCCCUCUUCUGCCAUCCUUUGGACCUCCCAUGGCCUCUGCAUCGCGCUGACACCUCGCUGAGGCUGACAGGAGCUGCGUUUUGGCCCAGGAGCUCCACACGAGGAGGCUGGGCCUGCAGAGUGGAGCACUCCGGGUCUCAUUUGCAGGUGGGCAGUGGGGGCUCCCAGUGAGGGCUGUCUGCAUGUUGCAGGUCCAGGUUCUUUAGAAGCCCUGGGUGUUGCUACGUGCUUCGCAGGGAGCCUUUGAAGUCAGCCUGAGCUCCAAGCCAUCCCCUAAUUGCUUCUCCUUUAUCAGACAGAUUUUCAAUGAACUUCACAGAAGGCGUUUGAGGCCAGAGCGGCCCCAUCGGCUGCCAAGUGACCGGUGCUGGGUGAGCCCUGUUUUUUAAAUGUAAAGAUGUUUCUUUAUGUUUGGGUAGGGACGGGCUGCGGUCACCGGGACCUGAGGAAGCGGCAGGCAGCCUCCGUGCAUUGGGAUAGCACAGCUCAGGUUUCCUUUCAGGCCUUGGCUAUGUUACCUUGGAGGAAUGUUCUCAUGGUGUGAGAUCUCUGUUGGAUGUGGACAUGGCAGCGCAUCUUCAGAUCCAUCUGCCCACCAAGAAGAGAUGUCCUCCCUCAAACUGGAGAUUGCCAUAGCCAAAAAGCCCUCAAGGAAUCUGCAGAUCUUCUCUCAUCCCAUCUUCCCCGUGGAUGGGAAAACAACUGUGUAAGAAGAGAAGGAACCUGUCCUCAAGAUAUGGUCAAAUCUGUCACCACCCGGUUGCCAAAUCAUUGCGAGAGAGUGAUGGAUGGAGCUGGAAAACCUGGUCAGUUCAGAGAUGGACUGAUGAGAGAUGGAACGGGAUCACAUCUUGGUGAACACACAGGCUGAAAGGACGCUUGUGAUCCCAAAGCCCUUCUGUGUUUAGCCAGACCUCUCAUUCACUUGCAGAGGAAACCCAUGUCAGCCGCUCCCCUUUGUCUCCCCUGAGCUAUUGCUUUGAAUCUGAAAGGAUUGGGUGCAGAUUUCAAGGGAUGUUCAGACAAAGGCUGUUUGAACAGCACUUGUGUAAAUAAUCCAUGAAAAACUCUUUGAAUAACCUCAAUGAAAUUUUCUCUGAAUUUGCUAUUCUUUUUCUCCGCAGCAGAAAGAGG
RNAcentral lists this long non-coding RNA (1375 nucleotides) under Gallus gallus (chicken). Its description in RNAcentral is "lncRNA (ENSGALG00010022853.1)". The record is from RNAcentral. Lineage: Eukaryota; Metazoa; Chordata; Aves; Galliformes; Phasianidae.